This is a long non-coding RNA of Engraulis encrasicolus (European anchovy), 801 nucleotides long. RefSeq lists it as uncharacterized. Lineage: Eukaryota; Metazoa; Chordata; Actinopteri; Clupeiformes; Engraulidae. The record is from RefSeq and is a predicted model, not a curated record. The transcript has 3 exons.
GUGUGGGAGAAGCGUUAGGCACCCACGUCGGCUUAUUUGUGAGAUGUCUAGCCAAAGGCUCUUGGGAUUUGCAGGGCCUCUCAUAGGAUCUGUUUUUGGUUUCAAUAACUCUGGCGCUCACAGGAGUGCUGUACAGACAGUCUGAUUCUGUCCUUCUCUCUCUCUCUUUCUCUUUUUCUGACCUGUCUGUCGUCUGAGACCAGACUUGAAGGUUAUAACGAUAGAGCCAAGAUAUGUACGUCCGUGAGGUGUAAAUGGCAUCUCUUUUACUCUGUGAUAGGUAUUGGGGUUGGUACCACUCCAUUCUUACACACUUCUUAUGGAAGAAUUUCUUAUGUUGACUUCAGUACAUUAAUGCUCGAGAUCCACAGUCCUUUUUCUCUCCUGUCCUCUAUCUUUCUGUCUCUCUUAUUUGUUUUUGCAUUUUUCUGCAUCUUUCGCGUCAGGUGUACCAUUUUUGCAUAAUUUUAGGGGGGUGUAUGUAACAGAGUACAUCUGCGUUCGUUGUAAAAUUAUCAUAAAUGGUACGAGAGCGCCCUCUAUUGGUAGCUCUCGUGGGUUGAUAUGGUGGUACGUUGCGUGGUUACUUCAGAACACGCCUGGAGGAUGUCACGACGUUGACCGAAGUAGCCACGAAACCUGUCUUAAUCCUGUAUCCCGUUUUGUGUACCACCUAUCAUUGCAGAACACGCCUGGAGGAUGUCACGACGUUGACCGAAGUAGCCACGAAACCUGUAUUAAUCCUGUAUCCUGUUUUGUGUACCACCUAUCAUUGCAGACAAUAAAUACAGAUUAGACCAA